Molecule: ribosomal RNA, 804 nt
Filed under: Enterococcus sp. M133
Lineage: Bacteria; Bacillati; Bacillota; Bacilli; Lactobacillales; Enterococcaceae
Description: bacterial SSU rRNA
Rfam family: Bacterial small subunit ribosomal RNA
Source: RNAcentral
CGCUUUUUCUUUCACCUGAGCUUGCUCCAUCGAAAGAAAAAGAGUGGCGAACGGGUGAGUAACACGUGGGUAACCUGCCCAUCAGAAGGGGAUAACACUUGGAAACAGGUGCUAAUACCGUAUAACACUAUUUUCCGCAUGGAAGAAAGUUGAAAGGCGCUUUUGCGUCACUGAUGGAUGGACCCGCGGUGCAUUAGCUAGUUGGUGAGGUAACGGCUCACCAAGGCAACGAUGCAUAGCCGACCUGAGAGGGUGAUCGGCCACACUGGGACUGAGACACGGCCCAGACUCCUACGGGAGGCAGCAGUAGGGAAUCUUCGGCAAUGGACGAAAGUCUGACCGAGCAACGCCGCGUGAGUGAAGAAGGUUUUCGGAUCGUAAAACUCUGUUGUUAGAGAAGAACAAGGAUGAGAGUAAAAUGUUCAUCCCUUGACGGUAUCUAACCAGAAAGCCACGGCUAACUACGUGCCAGCAGCCGCGGUAAUACGUAGGUGGCAAGCGUUGUCCGGAUUUAUUGGGCGUAAAGCGAGCGCAGGCGGUUUCUUAAGUCUGAUGUGAAAGCCCCCGCCUCAACCGGGGAGGGUCAUUGGAAACUGGGAGACUUGAGUGCAGAAGAGGAGAGUGGAAUUCCAUGUGUAGCGGUGAAAUGCGUAGAUAUAUGGAGGAACACCAGUGGCGAACGCGGCUCUCUGGUCUGUAACUGACGCUGAGGCUCGAAAGCGUGGGGAGCGAACAGGAUUAGAUACCCUGGUAGUCCACGCCGUAAACGAUGAGUGCUAAGUGUUGGAGGGUUUCCGCCCUUCA